AGUGAACGCUGGCGGUAGGCCUAACACAUGCAAGUCGAACGGCAGCACAGUAAGAGCUUGCUCUUACGGGUGGCGAGUGGCGGACGGGUGAGGAAUACAUCGGAAUCUACUUUUUCGUGGGGGAUAACGUAGGGAAACUUACGCUAAUACCGCAUACGACCUACGGGUGAAAGCAGUGGAUCUACGGACCUUGCGCGAUUGAAUGAGCCGAUGUCGGAUUAGCUAGUUGGCGGGGUAAAGGCCCACCAAGGCGACGAUCCGUAGCUGGUCUGAGAGGAUGAUCAGCCACACUGGAACUGAGACACGGUCCAGACUCCUACGGGAGGCAGCAGUGGGGAAUAUUGGACAAAGGGCGCAAGCCUGAUCCAGCCAUACCGCGUGGGUGAAGAAGGCCUUCGGGUUGUAAAGCCCUUUUGUUGGGAAAGAAAAGCAGCAGGUUAAUACCCCGCUGUUCUGACGGUACCCAAAGAAUAAGCACCGGCUAACUUCGUG
RNAcentral lists this ribosomal RNA (492 nucleotides) under uncultured bacterium. Its description in RNAcentral is "partial 16S ribosomal RNA". It matches the Rfam family "Bacterial small subunit ribosomal RNA", at positions 29 to 507 of the family's 1533-position model. The record is from RNAcentral.